Pelobates cultripes (western spadefoot toad) is the source of this 213-nucleotide non-coding RNA. The record is from the annotation of a GenBank genome assembly. NCBI's taxonomy places the organism in Eukaryota, Metazoa, Chordata, Amphibia, Anura, Pelobatidae.
CGAUCACCUUGGUACAAAGCCGGUUAGUCCCCGACUACAAACGCUCUCCUGACACAGUGGCUGUCCGGGUGGCUGGAGGGGACAUAUACAAACUACCCACAGCAAAGGUACACUUGGAUUGGGGUGUGGGAAAAGGACUUGUGAGGGUGGGAAUUAUGGAUAAUUUGCCAGCCGAAGUUUUGCUGGGAAACGACCUGGGACCUAUGACUUCCG